UAGAAUGAACCGGCGAGUUACGAUUUGUUGCAAGGUUAAGCGGAAAAAGCGGAGCCGUAGCGAAAGCGAGUCUGAAUAGGGCGCAUAAGUAACAGGUCGUAGACCCGAAACCAGGUGAUCUACCCAUGUCCAGGAUGAAGGUAAGGUAAUACUUACUGGAGGUCCGAACCCACGCACGUUGAAAAGUGCGGGGAUGAGGUGUGGGUAGCGGAGAAAUUCCAAUCGAACUUGGAGAUAGCUGGUUCUCUCCGAAAUAGCUUUAGGGCUAGCCUCGAGGUAAAGAGUCAUGGAGGUAGAGCACUGUUUGGACUA
This 312-nucleotide ribosomal RNA is filed under the name Escherichia coli. Its description in RNAcentral is "partial 23S ribosomal RNA". It matches the Rfam family "Bacterial large subunit ribosomal RNA", at positions 611 to 921 of the family's 2925-position model. Lineage: Bacteria; Pseudomonadati; Pseudomonadota; Gammaproteobacteria; Enterobacterales; Enterobacteriaceae. The record is from RNAcentral.